UACGUAGGGGGCGAGCGUUGUCCGGAUUUAUUGGGCGUAAAGAGCUCGUAGGCGGCUUGGCAAGUCGGGUGUGAAACCUCCAGGCUCAACCUGGAGACGCCACUCGAUACUGCUAUGGCUAGAGUCCGGUAGGGGACCACGGAAUUCCUGGUGUAGCGGUGAAAUGCGCAGAUAUCAGGAGGAACACCGAUGGCGAAGGCAGGUCUCUGGGCAUUAACUGACGCUGAGAAGCGAAAGCAUGGGGAGCGAACAGG
Molecule: ribosomal RNA, 254 nt
Filed under: uncultured bacterium
Lineage: Bacteria
Description: partial 16S ribosomal RNA
Rfam family: Bacterial small subunit ribosomal RNA
Source: RNAcentral